Molecule: ribosomal RNA, 1371 nt
Filed under: uncultured marine bacterium
Lineage: Bacteria
Description: bacterial SSU rRNA
Rfam family: Bacterial small subunit ribosomal RNA
Source: RNAcentral
GAGUUUGAUCCUGGCUCAGGACGAACGCUGGCGGCAUGCCUAACACAUGCAAGUCGAACGAGAAAGUUCCUUCGGGAGCGAUUAGAGUGGCGCACGGGUGAGUAACGCGUAGACAAUCUGCCCUUCAGUCUGGGACAACUUUUCGAAAGGAGAGCUAAUACCGGAUAACAAUGUUUAACAUAAGUUAAAUAUUUGAAAGCUUUAUGUGCUGAAGGAGGGGUCUGCGUCCCAUUAGCUAGUUGGUAAGGUAAAGGCUUACCAAGGCAACGAUGGGUAGCGGGUUUGAGAGGACGAUCCGCCACACUGGAACUGAGACACGGUCCAGACUCCUACGGGAGGCAGCAGUGGGGAAUAUUGCACAAUGGAGGAAACUCUGAUGCAGCAAUGUCGCGUGAGUGAAGAAGGCCCUUGGGUCGUAAAGCUCUUUUAUGGGGGAAGAUGAUGACGGUACCCCAAGAAUAAGCACCGGCUAACUAUGUGCCAGCAGCCGCGGUAAUACAUAGGGUGCGAGCGUUGUUCGGAAUUACUGGGCGUAAAGGGCGCGCAGGCGGAAUAGUAAGUCGGAGGUGAAAGCCCGGGGCUCAACCCCGGAGGGUCUUUCGAAACUGCUAAUCUAGAGAGGGUCAGGGGCCGGCAGAAUUCCUGGUGUAGAGGUGAAAUUCGUAGAUAUCAGGAGGAAUACCGGUGGCGAAGGCGGCCGGCUGGGGCCACUCUGACGCUGAGGCGCGAAAGCGUGGGGAGCAAACAGGAUUAGAUACCCUGGUAGUCCACGCCGUAAACGAUGAGCACUGGACGUCCGGAGGGUUCGACCCUUCUGGGUGUCUCAGCUAACGCAUUAAGUGCUCCGCCUGGGGAGUACGGUCGCAAGACUAAAACUCAAAGGAAUUGACGGGGGCCCGCACAAGCGGUGGAACAUGUGGUUUAAUUCGAUGCAACGCGAAGAACCUUACCUGGUCUUGACAUCCUCGGACCGCUUCAGAGAUGAAGUUUCCUCUUCGGAGGCCGAGUGAUAGGUGCUGCAUGGCUGUCGUCAGCUCGUGUCGUGAGAUGUUGGGUUAAGUCCCGCAACGAGCGCAACCCUCUCCUUUAGUUGUCAGCAUUUAGUUGGGCACUCUAAAGGGACUGCCGGUGAUAAGCCGGAGGAAGGUGGGGAUGACGUCAAGUCCUCAUGGCCCUUAUGGGCUGGGCUACACACGUGCUACAAUGGCGCUGACAGAGGGCAGCUAACUCGCGAGAGUAAGCUAAUCCCUAAAAGGCGCCUCAGUUCAGAUUGCACUCUGCAACUCGAGUGCAUGAAGUUGGAAUCGCUAGUAAUCGUGGAUCAGCAUGCCACGGUAAAUACGUUCCCGGGCCUUGUACUCACCGCCCGUC